Molecule: long non-coding RNA, 429 nt
Filed under: Phascolarctos cinereus (koala)
Lineage: Eukaryota; Metazoa; Chordata; Mammalia; Diprotodontia; Phascolarctidae
Description: lncRNA (ENSPCIG00000033892.1)
Source: RNAcentral
UGUCAAAUGAUUUUUCCUGAUCUUGACACUGCAUUCUUUUUUCCAAAGGUUGGAAGUUAACUCUUCAAGAUACCAGACUUCAUUUUUAUUGGGAUAUUAAUUCUGAUUAAAUAACAGAAAUCCAUCGACCCUUCAUCUCGAUCCAUAAGAGAGAUAGUAGAAAAGCUGGAGAAAAGAAUAUUCUAAGGGGAAAAAAAGAACAAGGCACCUAUACCUUUAAAGAAAGAACUGAGGACGACGUCUCCUUGCAUCUACUAAUGAUCAUUGUAAUGUGAUGCUGGACCUGAACUUGCUUAAGACUCCCAUUCAAGGUUGAAUUAGGAAGUUUUGUGCAGACCUGGAAGAAGCAGGUAAGUUAUUUGUUACAGUUUCUCCUAAUGUCAUCCAUUCUACUUUCUCCAUUACUUAUUAUGCAAAUGUUUAUUUCCC